CUACUAUGUUCAGAGUUUGAUCCUGGCUCAGGAUGAACGCUGGCUGUGUGCCUAAUACAUGCAUGUCGAGCGAAGUGAUUUAUCACUUAGCGGCGAACGGGUGAGUAACACGUAAAGAACCUGCCUCAUAGACUGGGACAACUACUGGAAACGGUAGCUAAUACCGGAUAAUAUUUAAAAUCGCAUGGAGAUAAAUUAAAAGUCGGUGCAAGCUGACACUAUGAGAUGGCUUUGCGGUGCAUUAGCUAGUUGGUAGGGUAAAGGCCUACCAAGGCGACGAUGCAUAGCCGACCUGAGAGGGUGAUCGGCCACACUGGGACUGAGACACGGCCCAG
Molecule: ribosomal RNA, 335 nt
Filed under: uncultured bacterium
Lineage: Bacteria
Description: bacterial SSU rRNA
Rfam family: Bacterial small subunit ribosomal RNA
Source: RNAcentral